This is an RNA transcript of Octodon degus (degu), 1440 nucleotides long. It is a transcript of the gene named phosphoglycerate kinase 1 pseudogene, with no coding region annotated. The transcript has a single exon. The record is from RefSeq and is a predicted model, not a curated record. NCBI's taxonomy places the organism in Eukaryota, Metazoa, Chordata, Mammalia, Rodentia, Octodontidae.
AUGAUCCAAAAAACUCCACCACAGUCUUAUAGAUUUAACCACCAAAUUCAGAAACAUAGCAAGAUACAAAGUCAAUACCCAGCAGUGAAAGCUUUCUCCCGGCCCUUGCGGUGUUCUACAUUCUGCACGCAUCUCCGGUGCUCUACAGACACAACGACAGCCUCUGAGUCCCCGGCUUCUUGCUUCUGCUCUAUUACCAAAAUUUUGCUUUCUAACAAGCUGACUCUGGACAAGCUGGAAGUGAAGGGGAAGCAUGUCGUGAUGAGAGUGGAUUUCAAUGUUCCUAUGAAGAAUAACCAGGUAACCAACAACCAAAGAAUCAAGGCUGCUGUCCCAAGCAUCAAAUUCUGCUUGGACAAUGGAGCCAAAUCAGUUGUCCUUAUGAGCCACCUGGGCCAGCCAGAUGGUGUUCCAGUGCCUGACAAGUUUUCCUUACAGCCAUUGCUGUAGAACUCAAGUCUCUGCUGAGCAAGGAUAUUCUAUUUUUGAAGGACUGUGUGGGCCCAGAAGUAGAGAAAGCCUGUGCUGAUCCAUCAGUUGGGUCUGUCAUCCUGCUGGAGAACCUCUGCUUUUCAUGUACAGGGGAAAAGAUGCUUCUGGGAACAAGCUUAAAGCUGAGCCAGCCAAAAUAGAUGCUUUCCAAGCUUCACUUUCCAAACUAGGGGAUGUCUACAUCAAUAUGCUUUUGACGCUGCACACCGAGCCCACAGCUCCAUGGUGGGAAUCAGUCUGCCACAGAAGGCUGGUGGAUUUUUGAUGAAGAAGGAGCUGAACUAUUUUGCUAAGGCUUUGGGGAACCCAGAGAGAACUUUCCUGGCCAUCUUGGGUGGAGCUAAAGUUGCAGAUAAGAUCCAAUUGAUCAGUGAUAUGCUGGACAAAGUCAAUGAGAUGAUUAUUGGUGGUGGAAUAGCUUGUACCUUUCUUAAAGGGCUCAACAGCAUGGAGACUGACACUUUUCUGUUUGAUGAAGAGGGAUCCAAGACUGUUAAAGACCUGAUGGCCAAAGCUGAGAAGAAUGGUGUGAAGAUUACCUUGCCUGCUGACUUUGUCACUGCCGACAAGUUUGAUGAGAAUGCCAAGACUGGCCAAGCCACUGUGGCCUCUGGCAUACCUGCUGGGUGGACAGGCUUGGACUGUGGUCCCGAGAGCAGCAAGAAGUAUGCUGGGCUGUUGGUCAUGCCAAGCAGAUUGUAUGGAUGGACCUGGAGGGUAUGUGAAUGGGAAGCUUUUGCCAAGGGCACCAAAGCCCUCAUGGAUGAGGUGGUGAAGGCCACCUCCAGGGGCUGCAUCACCAUCACAGUGGGUGGAGUCACUGCUACUUGCUGUGUCAAAUGGAACACAGAGGAUAAAGUCAGCCAUGUGAGUACUGGGGGUGGUGCCAGUUUAGAGCUCCUAGAAGGUAAAGUCCUUCCUGGAGUGGAUGCUCUCAGCAGUAUUUAG